CCCUUAGAGUUUGAUCCUGGCUCAGAAUCAACGCUGGCGGCGUGCCUAACACAUGCAAGUCGAACGCGAAAGGGGCUUCGGCCCUGAGUAGAGUGGCAAACGGGUGAGUAACACGUGGGUGACCUGCCUCAGAGUGGGGGAUAACGUUCCGAAAGGAGCGCUAAUACCGCAUGACAUCCUGCGCUUGGAAGCGCGGUGAUUAAAGCCGGGGAUCGCAAGACCUGGCGCUUGGAGAGGGGCCCGCGGCCGAUUAGCUAGUUGGUGGGGUAAUGGCUCACCAAGGCAACGAUCGGUAUCCGGCCUGAGAGGGCGGACGGACACACUGGGACUGAGACACGGCCCAGACUCCUACGGGAGGCAGCAGUGGGGAAUUGUUCGCAAUGGGCGCAAGCCUGACGACGCAACGCCGCGUGGAGGAUGAAGAUCUUCGGGUCGUAAACUCCUUUCGAUCGGGAAGAACGGCUUCCGGGUGAAUAACCCGGAAGAGUGACGGUACCGAGAGAAGAAGCCCCGGCUAACUCCGUGCCAGCAGCCGCGGUAAUACGGGGGGGGCAAGCGUUGUUCGGAAUUACUGGGCGUAAAGGGCUCGUAGGCGGCCAACUAAGUCGGAUGUGAAAUCCCCAGGCUUAACCUGGGAACUGCAUCCGAUACUGGAUGGCUUGAAUUCGGGAGAGGGAUGCAGAAUUCCAGGUGUAGCGGUGAAAUGCGUAGAUAUCUGGAGGAAUACGGGUGGC
This 734-nucleotide ribosomal RNA is filed under the name uncultured bacterium. Its description in RNAcentral is "bacterial SSU rRNA". It matches the Rfam family "Bacterial small subunit ribosomal RNA", at positions 1 to 716 of the family's 1533-position model. The record is from RNAcentral.